Non-coding RNA from Mus caroli (Ryukyu mouse), 777 nucleotides. The record is from RefSeq and is a predicted model, not a curated record. Lineage: Eukaryota; Metazoa; Chordata; Mammalia; Rodentia; Muridae.
CCGGCCGGGGAGAAUGCGGGGAGACCGCGUUUAGAGGAUCAGUGGCGGCGGGCCCGCGCGGUGCCGGCGACUAGCAGCGAGGUGUCCUGGCCCCUUCCAGGUUUGGGAGAAUGGAGAGAGCAAGGUGUAGCUGAUUAGCAAGUUAAUUAUUUCAGUACCCCAAGGGUUCAUGCGUGGUGGAGAUGGCCUUGGGAGAGCAACCUCUGGACCUCAGCAGUGUGAGCAUGACAACAGUACCCUGUGGUGCUGUCCCCACUCAGGUUGGCUACCAUCCCUGCUGAUGGAGAGAGGCUGAAGUCUGUCCGAGAAGAUAGUGCCGGCAACUACUUAGCUGUUACUAAUUGUAUUUGCAGAGUAGGGAUGCAGAGGCCUCCCAGAGAAGUGUGAAGGGAUGGGCCUUAACCAGGGUUGAAGAAAGAAAGUGAAGAAGGGGAGAGCCCAAGGAAAGAGAUGGAAGCCAGAACCUUGCAUAUUCUAGGCAAAUAUUCUACCACUGAGUUACAUUCCCAGCCUGGACCAUUUUCUUUUGGAACAUGCACCAACAUGGCUCCCUUGUGCAGGCGAGCACUGAGUUAGUGGUCCAGCCUGAGGAAGGCCUUGUUGGGUCUGGGCUGUGAUGCUUUUGUGUGUGUUCUUUUGCAUAUGUCCACUCCGUUUGCCUUUUGGUUUUUUUCUCCCUUUCAUUUUAUCUCCUCCCCUGAUGACAUUCUGAGUUAGGCUUUGGGUACAGGAACAUCUUAGCCCCAGGAGUGCAGGGCCCCUCCUUUCCCUUUCUGC